Molecule: small nucleolar RNA, 107 nt
Organism: Humulus lupulus (European hop)
Lineage: Eukaryota; Viridiplantae; Streptophyta; Magnoliopsida; Rosales; Cannabaceae
Source: RefSeq, a predicted model, not a curated record
AUGUCGUGAUGAAGACAUUUUUUCAACAAUUCUUUAAACCUCUCCAAUGCAUCAUAUAAUAAUUCCCCAUAAUUCUAGAAGAAGUUAUUGAUCUCUCCUCUUAAUCU